UUAAGCGACUAAGCGUACACGGUGGAUGCCCUGGCAGUCAGAGGCGAUGAAGGACGUGCUAAUCUGCGAAAAGCGUCGGUAAGGUGAUAUGAACCGUUAUAGCCGGCGAUGUCCGAAUGGGGAAACCCAGUGCAAUUCGUUGCACUAUCGUUAACUGAAUACAUAGGUUAACGAGGCGAACCGGGGGAACUGAAACAUCUAAGUACCCCGAGGAAAAGAAAUCAACCGAGAUUCCCCCAGUAGCGGCGAGCGAACGGGGAGCAGCCCAGAGUCUGAAUCAGCUUGUGUGUUAGUGGAACGGUCUGGAAAGUCCGACGCUACAGGGUGAUAGUCCCGUACACCAAAAUGCACAGGCUGUGAACUCGAAGAGUAGGGCGGGACACGUGGUAUCCUGUCUGAAUAUGGGGGGACCAUCCUCCAAGGCUAAAUACUCCUGACUGACCGAUAGUGAACCAGUACCGUGAGGGAAAGGCGAAAAGAACCCCGGCGAGGGGAGUGAAAAAGAACCUGAAACCGUGUACGUACAAGCAGUGGGAGCACCUUCGGGUGUGACUGCGUACCUUUUGUAUAAUGGGUCAGCGACUUAUAUUCUGUAGCAAGGUUAACCGUAUAGGGGAGCCGCAGGGAAACCGAGUCUUAACUGGGCGUUAAGUUGCAGGGUAUAGACCCGAAACCCGGUGAUCUAGCCAUGGGCAGGUUGAAGGUUGGGUAACACUAACUGGAGGACCGAACCGACUAAUGUUGAAAAAUUAGCGGAUGACUUGUGGCUGGGGGUGAAAGGCCAAUCAAACCGGGAGAUAGCUGGUUCUCCCCGAAAGCUAUUUAGGUAGCGCCUCGUGAAUUCAUCUUCGGGGGUAGAGCACUGUUUCGGCUAGGGGGUCAUCCCGACUUACCAACCCGAUGCAAACUACGAAUACCGAAGAAUGUUAUCACGGGAGACACACGGCGGGUGCUAACGUCCGUCGUGAAGAGGGAAACAACCCAGACCGCCAGCUAAGGUCCCAAAGUCAUGGUUAAGUGGGAAACGAUGUGGGAAGGCACAGACAGCCAGGAUGUUGGCUUAGAAGCAGCCAUCAUUUAAAGAAAGCGUAAUAGCUCACUGGUCGAGUCGGCCUGCGCGGAAGAUGUAACGGGGCUAAACCAUGCACCGAAGCUGCGGCAGCGACACUAUGUGUUGUUGGGUAGGGGAGCGUUCUGUAAGCCUGCGAAGGUGACCUGUGAGGGUUGCUGGAGGUAUCAGAAGUGCGAAUGCUGACAUAAGUAACGAUAAAGCGGGUGAAAAGCCCGCUCGCCGGAAGACCAAGGGUUCCUGUCCAACGUUAAUCGGGGCAGGGUAAGUCGACCCCUAAGGCGAGGCCGAAAGGCGUAGUCGAUGGGAAACAGGUUAAUAUUCCUGUACUUGGUGUUACUGCGAAGGGGGGACGGAGAAGGCUAUGUUAGCCGGGCGACGGUUGUCCCGGUUUAAGCAUGUAGGCUGGUUAUCCAGGCAAAUCCGGAUAAUCAAGGCUGAGGUGUGAUGACGAGGCACUACGGUGCUGAAGUAACAAAUGCCCUGCUUCCAGGAAAAGCCUCUAAGCAUCAGGUAACAUCAAAUCGUACCCCAAACCGACACAGGUGGUCAGGUAGAGAAUACCAAGGCGCUUGAGAGAACUCGGGUGAAGGAACUAGGCAAAAUGGUGCCGUAACUUCGGGAGAAGGCACGCUGGUGUGUAGGUGAAGCCCCUGCGGAUGGAGCUGAGACCAGUCGAAGAUACCAGCUGGCUGCAACUGUUUAUUAAAAACACAGCACUGUGCAAACACGAAAGUGGACGUAUACGGUGUGACGCCUGCCCGGUGCCGGAAGGUUAAUUGAUGGGGUUAUCCGUAAGGAGAAGCUCUUGAUCGAAGCCCCGGUAAACGGCGGCCGUAACUAUAACGGUCCUAAGGUAGCGAAAUUCCUUGUCGGGUAAGUUCCGACCUGCACGAAUGGCGUAAUGAUGGCCAGGCUGUCUCCACCCGAGACUCAGUGAAAUUGAACUCGCUGUGAAGAUGCAGUGUACCCGCGGCAAGACGGAAAGACCCCGUGAACCUUUACUAUAGCUUGACACUGAACAUUGAGCCUUGAUGUGUAGGAUAGGUGGGAGGCUUUGAAGCGUGGACGCCAGUCUGCGUGGAGCCAACCUUGAAAUACCACCCUUUAAUGUUUGAUGUUCUAACGUUGGCCCCU
Molecule: ribosomal RNA, 2206 nt
Filed under: Klebsiella pneumoniae
Lineage: Bacteria; Pseudomonadati; Pseudomonadota; Gammaproteobacteria; Enterobacterales; Enterobacteriaceae
Description: bacterial LSU rRNA
Rfam family: Bacterial large subunit ribosomal RNA
Source: RNAcentral